CUGUGUGAAAAUAAUAUAUCUCGAUUACAGAGGUGGUCAAAUCAUCCACCCAAACUGGUCAAAGGUCUUUCCUCAGUUAGUUCCACAGAUUGUAGAAAGAGCUCUAAGCUUGCCUGAACCAAGGAGGAGCCAUCUAGUCAGCCAACGAUUCAACUCAAGUACUUACGAAUAAGAUGGGACGCUCCAUGGGCAUGGGGAUAGAGGUAUAAAGCAUGAUGGUGUUUCAAGCAUACCAACCAGUGAUGAGGGAUCGAUAAUUGGAAAUUCGAGUGAUUCAGUGGCGAUUGCCAUACAGCAAUUAAUCCGAAGCACGCCUGAUCUGAGGCCUGAGUGUUGCAUCUACAAUGUCCCGGAGAGAUUUCGCAAGGGGAAUGAAGAAGUCUACAAACCUCGUGUAGUCGCAAUCGGACCUUAUCACGUCAAAGAUACAAGCUAUGCCAUGUGUAAGCCCAAAUACGUGGACACCUUUUUCUGCCGGAACAAGCUCAACUUGGACCAUUGUCU
Molecule: non-coding RNA, 504 nt
Organism: Prunus mume (Japanese apricot)
Lineage: Eukaryota; Viridiplantae; Streptophyta; Magnoliopsida; Rosales; Rosaceae
Source: RefSeq, a predicted model, not a curated record